Molecule: ribosomal RNA, 459 nt
Filed under: uncultured bacterium
Lineage: Bacteria
Description: partial 16S ribosomal RNA
Rfam family: Bacterial small subunit ribosomal RNA
Source: RNAcentral
CCUACGGGUGGCAGCAGUGAGGAAUAUUGGUCAAUGGCCGGGAGGCUGAACCAGCCAAGCCGCGUGAGGGAAGAAGGUCCUGUGGAUCGUAAACCUCUUUUGUCAGGGAGCAAAGUCUGGCACGUGUCCGAGGAGGAGAGUACCUGAAGAAAAAGCAUCGGCUAACUCCGUGCCAGCAGCCGCGGUAAUACGGAGGAUGCGAGCGUUAUCCGGAUGUAUUGGGUUUAAAGGGUGCGCAGGCGGUUUAUGAAGUCAGCGGUAAAAGCCCGGCGCUCAACUCCGGCCAGCCGUUGAAACUGGGGGUCUCGAGUAGGGGAGAAGUAUGCGGAAUGCGUGGUGUAGCGGUGAAAUGCAUAGAUAUCACGCAGAACUCCGAUUGCGAAGGCAGCAUGCCGGCUCCCGACUGACGCUGAGGCACGAAAGCGUGGGUAUCGAACAGGAUUAGAUACCCCAGUAGUC